GUGAGGAUCUCCUUUGCAAUAGGGCUGAAGGAUGCCAUUCUGGAGAAGUUUCUUUUGUGGAGCUCUCAGUCCUCCAUUAGCCCCAACAGUUUCCUGUCUACCCUUCUGCAGAAGGUGAUAGAUGCAUGCACAUUAUUCACCAUCAGAGCCUAGUGGCAGGGUUUAAGUGGCACACAUGGACUUGUCCACAGUGGGUUUAGAAGUAUGAGUUGGCUGGUCAACUUGAGCACUGACAAGGGGUGAGGGUUGUGGUUUACUUUCUGGUAGGACUAGCAUGUCACUAAAGCAGGCCUUUUGGUAUAUUAAAAGAUUUUCUAAAGCAAAACCAGUUUAGAUUUUAAUCAGAUUUGUAGGCUUUCUAAGUCUAAUUUUACAGAACUGCCUCCUUCCUCUCUGCUCUUCCCAGGAGUCAGGGACAGGACUGGAGUGAAAACACUUGUAAUUUUUUUGUAUCCUGGUAUCUUUUUUCCCUGUGCAAAAUAUUCCUUUCUUUGUUAAGAUUCUUAAGGUGUUUUUUUUUUUCUUUUAUAAUAAACAUACUAGAUUUGCAUCC
Perognathus longimembris pacificus (Pacific pocket mouse) is the source of this 553-nucleotide long non-coding RNA. RefSeq lists it as uncharacterized. NCBI's taxonomy places the organism in Eukaryota, Metazoa, Chordata, Mammalia, Rodentia, Heteromyidae. The transcript has 2 exons. The record is from RefSeq and is a predicted model, not a curated record.